RNAcentral lists this long non-coding RNA (2356 nucleotides) under Sus scrofa (pig). RNAcentral describes it as "lncRNA (ENSSSCG00005005247.1)". The record is from RNAcentral. Lineage: Eukaryota; Metazoa; Chordata; Mammalia; Artiodactyla; Suidae.
AAGGUAAUCAGAUUAUUAGGCUGAGGGAAUUUGCCAGACACAAACCAUCUGGAUAUGGCAAGGGACUUGGUGAAGGUCUUUCCAACUGCCACUGUUCACAAGAGAAUUGGGACAAGACCACCUUUAGUGAUGUGGAUUCCCAACCGGCCUCGAGGCUGUGUCCAGCAGUGGGAUGAAGUACUGAGCUGCCAGGCAACGUCCAGGGGCUGAGUUGACUUACAAAGUUGUGUUAAUCUCAUGUGUACAACAAAGUAAAUCAGUUAUACCCAUAUUCGUUCCUUUUCAGAUUCCUUCCCCGUGCAGAUUAUUACACGGUAUUGAAUUUCCCUGUGCUCUGCAGUUGGUCCUCAUUACCCCUGUUUUAUAUACAGUAGUGUUGAUGUUAAUCCCAACCUCCCGACCUCCGCCUCUGCCACUACAUAUCCCCUUCGGUUACCGUAAGUUUGGUUUCAAAAUCUUUGAAUCUGUUUCGGUUUGUAAGUUCUACUCUAUCAUUGCUAUUAGAUUCCACAUAUUAGUAAUCUCAUAUGGUAUUAGUCUUUCUCUUUUGACUUACUUCACUAUGAUAAUUUCUAAUUUCUAUACACACUACUAUAUAUAUAUAUAUAAAAUAGGAGUAAUGAGGACCAACUGCAGAGCACGGGAAAUGCAUUCAAUUCAUUCAUUUUAAUUGGAUAAUCUAUCAAAUUUCUAUGAUAAUUUCAUGUUGCUGCAAAUGGGCAUUAUUUCCUUCUUUUUUAUGGUUGAAAAGUUUUCCAUUAUAUCUACGUACCACAUCUUCUGCAUCUGUCCAUGGACAUUUAGGUUGCUUCCAUGUCUCGGCUAUUGUGAAUAGUGCUGCUAUGAACAUUAACCCACUCCCUUUUGUCAUGACGGAAUCAUCAAGUGCCAAAAGCAACUGGACAGGAUGAGACUAGGAAAAGAUUAAAACAUCAGGAGGACAAAUGUCACAUCCUAAAUUUAGGUCAUAGGAACCAAAUCCACGAUUUCAAGCUGCAGGUGACACGAGGUGGUAAUAGGACAGGCUCAUUCAUCAGCAACACAACAAAAGGGACUCAAACAUCAGCUUGAGCCCAAUAACAGCGUUACCUCGAAAGGCCAAUUAGGGCUUACACUGCAUGACCCAAAAUGAGAAAGCAAGAUGGUAUCUGUUGUUUGGUGUGCAGUUCUGGCUGCUACAUCUCUAAGUAACUUUAAGGAGACCAGUAACCAGGUAGAAGGGCUAGUGGGAAGAUCAGGAAUUAUGUUCACAAGUACAAAGCACACAGCCUCAUUCUGAACUGUUAGCUUUUGUGAAAGGUCUGCAUUUCAAACUGGAUAUGACAUCAGAUGAUCACCGACAAAGACUCAAGUCGGCCAAAGAAUUUUUCAGAAAGUGAGAAGUUCUUCAAAGACACUGAAAUUGUGUGUGUAUGUGAAGGUACUCCUGGAAAAGAGUUAUUUAAAUGAUGGGAAUGUAUUAAAAGCAGUAACUUUUAGAGAGCACCCCCUGCCUACUGCUGGAUUUCAAGAUUAAAAAGUCAAACCUCAGCCAAGAGUAAGUUGACAGGUUACUCAAUUUCUGAGUUUGGAAGGUAAUCUUCACAACUGACUGUAAUGACAGGAUUUUGAAAUCAGAUCCCAAACCAGUCUCGGGUUUGUCCUGCAGUUCCUUAUUUUCCAUAACUCUGGCUAAUGGAAUAUACAUUAGUUAUGUAAAUGAGCUCUCACUAAAAGUGAAAUACAGGAUCUUAGUCAUCUUUUCUUAGAUAAAAUUGUCUAUUGUUGGUUAUUAACCUGCCUACAUAUAAAAGAGUAACUUUAAAAAUGUGAUCGUUGCAUAAGAGUUUUCCUUUACCCCGUGGGUCAAAUGAGGGGAAAUUCCAUGGCCCAGAAUAAAAUGUAUGCUGUUUCCCCGGAAGAGACUCUGUUUCCACAAACUGUGACAACAGCAUUCUCGGACAAGUAGUGUCUUUCUUUUCUCACACUUAUUUAAUAAAGUGAUUCACUGUGAAGCUCCCUGAAGUAGGGGCUAUUGGUUUUGACAUAACCUAACCCACAUCUUUUUUUCCUCUCUGGGAUCCUGAAGUCAUUGUGUGCCUUAACUCAAAAGCUGUUGCAGAGUGGUUCAUCUAAGUAAACCAUACUGCAUGCUGCAUGAUGGGAGUCUCAUAAAGAUGAUACAGACACUUUAUCCCAAGAGUCAAUCUCCUGGAGCAACACGUGCAUAGAACACAGGAGAGUCAAGGGAAAAUUCUACUAGGAUUCGACCCAAAGCCUUCAGAGGAACCACCAAAAGAACAUGAGGUAUCCACCAACUGAUGAAUGGGUGAACUAAAUGUGAUACAUUUCCACGCAAUGGAGUAUUACUGGGCCA